UCCCAGGUGGCUCAGAUGGUAAAGAAUCUGCCUGUAAGGCAGGAGACAUGGGUUCAAUCCCUGGAUUGGGAA
RNAcentral lists this transfer RNA (72 nucleotides) under Ovis aries (sheep). It matches the Rfam family "tRNA". From Rfam's summary of the family: Transfer RNA (tRNA) molecules are approximately 80 nucleotides in length. Lineage: Eukaryota; Metazoa; Chordata; Mammalia; Artiodactyla; Bovidae. The record is from Rfam by way of RNAcentral.